UCUUCUGUCUCCUUUACGCCACUAGGUGCUCAGUUACUUUGCACCGUAAAGAGUUUUCGGGGUGAAAUUCAGCCCAACUGGUGACUCAAAGGCUCUCUCGAGACGUCCCAGCGAGAGGACCAGGUGGUGGGUGCAAGUUGCUGAUUAACCUUUCAGACCCACGGUUUGCAGAUUUAGAGUGAGGUCCUCGGUUUACGUUGGGUCAGCUUCGCCCUCCCUUUCUUUCCCCCACAUCCCACACCCCCCUCCCGCUGCCACCGCGAGAAAAAUGUGCAAAGAGAAGGAAAUUUGCACAUCAAACGAGGGAGCAAGACAUUAAAAACUAAUCUGAGAAGAGAGCCCAGGACCCAGAAACUUUGGACAGAAAACCAGAGAGGAUCUUUUCUGAUGUCCUGACACAGAGAAAGGGCUGUGGUGCUUUCCGAAGAUCCUGGCCAGGAAAGAUGUUUUGCCAUGGGAUCAAGAGACUGGCGCUGGGAUUCAGAGUACUGGGGACUUCUGUGACAGCCUGAAGUUGGCUGGAAGAUAUGGCAGCUUGGUCAAGCCAUUUAAUUCUAGUGUUGGUGUUGGUCUUUCAUUUAUAAGAUGAAGUGGGAGGUAGAGAGGCCCCUUCUGCCUAGGCAAGCCUCUCUCUCUUUCACUUAAAAAAAAAAAAAAUUAUUGCCAGGACAAGGCCUUUUAUAUUCUGAUUAAAUAAAUAUAUCCUGUAAGAGGCCCAUUUUUCAGGCAACCUAAAAUAAUAACCCCUGAC
Molecule: long non-coding RNA, 751 nt
Organism: Mustela erminea (ermine)
Lineage: Eukaryota; Metazoa; Chordata; Mammalia; Carnivora; Mustelidae
Exons: 3
Source: RefSeq, a predicted model, not a curated record